Diorhabda carinulata is the source of this 363-nucleotide long non-coding RNA. RefSeq lists it as uncharacterized. The transcript has 2 exons. NCBI's taxonomy places the organism in Eukaryota, Metazoa, Arthropoda, Insecta, Coleoptera, Chrysomelidae. The record is from RefSeq and is a predicted model, not a curated record.
GGUUGUUAAAAUAAAGUUUCAGCUGGUGUUAAAAUUCACAAGGAUCAUAGACCAUGGAUUAGUUGAAAUAAUAAAUUGUGUAUCAAAGGAAUAUUUAGAAUAUGGACAAAUUAUCGGAUUGUAUAGAUGAACUAUUAAAAUAUACGAUUAUGGGAUAUUAGAGUUUCAAAUUCAGUUAAUAGAAGAUUCAAAUAAUUUUGUAUUCAUUGAGGAUCACGGAGACCAAAUUGAUGGUGCACACGAGGAUAGACACUAUUAAAUAAUUAAUAAUAAUUCCACACAUAUAAAUUUUGUACUUUUUUAAUUAGUAUAAUAAGAUUUUUCUCAAAUUAUAUAUAUUCAACUUUCAUAUAUUUUACUCUC